Long non-coding RNA from Prionailurus viverrinus (fishing cat), 457 nucleotides. RefSeq lists it as uncharacterized. NCBI's taxonomy places the organism in Eukaryota, Metazoa, Chordata, Mammalia, Carnivora, Felidae. The record is from RefSeq and is a predicted model, not a curated record. The transcript has 4 exons.
UCCUGAUCUUGCGGUUCAAGCCCCGAGUUGGCCUCUGCACUGGCAGCACGGAGCCUCAAGCCCAGCACGAGGGACCUUUGUCCAGUGGAAAUAUUCCGCCUCUCGGCUGCGUCCACGUCAGCAUCCCGGUUGUGACGCUGAGCUACAGUUUGGUCAGGCGUUAUCUUUGGGUGACCUGAUGAAAGUUGUUGGAGCCCUUCCAUGCCCUACCAGGAAGAAGUUGCGUGUCUCACUUUGAAGCACGAGGCCCUACCCUUCAAUUGCCUGACACAGAAGGACAAGUACCUUAGGAAGGAGACCUGUUGAUGUGCCAUCAAAUAUCCAAUGGAAGAAGGAGAGUACAGCCAGAGCCGAACAUGGACAGGUUUCAUUACAUCUCCAAGGAUGCAAUAAAGAAGCUCAAAAUUUGAAGCUGGAUGGAUGGAAGUUUGGAUUUGUGAUCUGCCCAUUACUAGCU